Molecule: ribosomal RNA, 486 nt
Filed under: uncultured bacterium
Lineage: Bacteria
Description: partial 16S ribosomal RNA
Rfam family: Bacterial small subunit ribosomal RNA
Source: RNAcentral
AACGAACGCUGGCGGCAGGCCUAACACAUGCAAGUCGAACGGAAAGGCCUCAGCUUGCUGGGGUACUCGAGUGGCGAACGGGUGAGUAACACGUGGGUGAUCUGCCCUGCACUUUGGGAUAAGCUUGGGAAACUGGGUCUAAUACCGAAUAUGACCACUUCUUGGAUGUUGUGGUGGAAAGCUUUUGCGGUGUGGGAUGAGCCUGCGGCCUAUCAGCUUGUUGGUGGGGUAAUGGCCUACCAAGGCGGCGACGGGUAUCCGGCCUGAGAGGGGGUACGGACACAUUGGGACUGAGAUACGGCCCAGACUCCUACGGGAGGCAGCAGUGGGGAAUAUUGCACAAUGGGCGCAAGCCUGAUGCAGCGACGCCGCGUGGGGGAUGAAGGCCUUCGGGUUGUAAACUCCUUUCGCUAUCGACGAAGCCACUUGUGGUGACGGUAGGUAGAUAAGAAGCACCGGCUAACUACGUGCCAGCCGCCGCGGUAA